This 343-nucleotide long non-coding RNA is filed under the name Brassica napus (rape). RNAcentral describes it as "long non-coding RNA (BNAP_LNC015294)". The record is from RNAcentral. Lineage: Eukaryota; Viridiplantae; Streptophyta; Magnoliopsida; Brassicales; Brassicaceae.
AUUCUUCUUUGGGAAUGUCUGUCGAUUUUUGGUGGGCACUAUCGGUCGAUGUGUCUUUGUGAGUUUCGAUCGACACCGAGUAUUCUGUCUCGCACUCAGCUCCACAGUGGCAUGCUGCGAUGAGUCAUGGAUCAUCAAUUCUUCUGGAGGACGUCUGUGGCUUCUUGACUGGAAUAGGAUUGUAGUGGACAUAAGGAUCUAUGAGCGACAGGCACAACUGGUUGGUUUGCAAGUUGCACACUGCUCCUAUUGUCGACAAGAAAACUCUCCCAAGUAAUAGAGAUUCCAGUUUAGCUUGAUAUCCAAGACAUGGAAAUCAACUGGAACUAGGGCAUUACCACUC